CUCAAACUAAUAUGUCCCCAGCUUUAUUACAAUAUUGUUGUAUGCUCUGACCCCGCUGGAAUACAUUUGACUUGUUGUUUUUGGAGACUUUUGUAGAAAUUUCGUUCUUGGCCAUUUUGCUGAAGCAGAGCAGAACGUUGUUGAGAUCCAAAGGUUUUCUCCAGGGAAUCUCUCCUCAUCUCAGUCAUCAUGUCUGAAAAGCCAAGGGUGUACCAGGGCGUCCGGGUAAAGACCACAGUGAAAGAGCUGCUGCAGAGACACCGAGCCCGGGAGGCCAGCAGUAAGAAGCUCCAAACGGUUUACUUGGAACAAAAGGAGCUUUGCAUGCCCACCCAUCCAAGUAAGUGAGAAAGUCUAACCAUUUAUUCAUUAAAUCAUUCAUUCGCUGAUUUAUUAGAUUUUUU
Cyprinodon tularosa is the source of this 404-nucleotide long non-coding RNA. RefSeq lists it as uncharacterized. The transcript has 3 exons. The record is from RefSeq and is a predicted model, not a curated record. NCBI's taxonomy places the organism in Eukaryota, Metazoa, Chordata, Actinopteri, Cyprinodontiformes, Cyprinodontidae.